ACAGUCAUUUCUCUUGAACUCAAAGAGAUCAUCAGUGAGAUGGAAGUAGCAGUUCGUGGGCAGAGCUUGCAGAGAAGCUGUACUCCAGAAGGACAGAUCCUGCUCCUUGACCUUCUCGUUUCCUAGAAUGCACACAUGCAGUGGACCACGCAGUACCCUUGCAGAUGAAAUCACACGUCAAAGACGGCAGAGUGGAACGAGAGAAGUAACCAGAAGUAAUCUGGGAAGGGUGAACCCCAUCCUAUGAGACUCCAGUUAUAAGCCUUAACAGCUGAUUGUCACAGCAGCAGGAUGGGUGGGUCUGCAUGGACACACAAGGCAGACACUCUGCUGGCAUGGUAGAUGGUUCCAAGUGAAGAACAGCUGACUUCAUGGGACUCUGUGAGAACAACCAAGCCUGUGAGACCGGGUCUGAAGCGAGCGACGCCCUCUCAGUUUCAGAGGCUGGAAAGUCCAAGAUCAAGAAGCUGAUAGACUUGGUGUCUGGAGAGUGCUUGCAGCUGUCUUCACAUGAAGGAAGAGACGAGAGACAAAUUUAGUACCUCAAGCUCUUUGAUGAGGGCACUAAUCCCAUGCAUAAAGAAUGAAACUAAUCACAACCUAAAGGCCCCAGCUGUCAAUACUGUUGCCUUGAGAAUCACACCGUGAACUGUAACUUCAGACCAUAAGAUCUGGGUUCCCAGUCCUCAGUUAGGGAACAAUAUCUGAACGUUUAUUCAGAUGGCUCUAGAGCAACUUACCCAGGCUU
Long non-coding RNA from Fukomys damarensis (Damara mole-rat), 748 nucleotides. RefSeq lists it as uncharacterized. The transcript is spliced from 3 exons. The record is from RefSeq and is a predicted model, not a curated record. Lineage: Eukaryota; Metazoa; Chordata; Mammalia; Rodentia; Bathyergidae.